CCUACGGGUGGCUGCAGUGAGGAAUAUUGGGCAAUGGGGGCAACCCUGACCCAGCCAUGCCGCGUGAGUGAAGAAGGUCUUCGGAUUGUAAAGCUCUUUCGGACGUGACGAUAAUGACGGUAGCGUCUAAAGAAGCACCGGCCAACUUCGUGCCAGCAGCCGCGGUAAUACGCAGGGUGCGAGCGUUAUUCGGAUUUACUGGGCGUAAAGGGAGUGUAGGCGGAUAUGUAAGAUAGCGGUGAAAUGCCGGGGCUCAACCCCGGAACUGCCAUUAUGACUAUGUAUCUAGAGUAAUGGAGAGGAAAGCGGAAUACCCAGUGUAGAGGUGAAAUGCGGAGAUAUGGGGUAGAACACCGGUGGCGAAGGCGGCUAUCUGGCCAGUAACUGACGCUGAGGCUCGAAAGCAUGGGGAUCAAACAGGAUUAGAUACCCCGGUAGUC
RNAcentral lists this ribosomal RNA (440 nucleotides) under uncultured bacterium. RNAcentral describes it as "partial 16S ribosomal RNA". It matches the Rfam family "Bacterial small subunit ribosomal RNA", at positions 338 to 795 of the family's 1533-position model. The record is from RNAcentral.